This 93-nucleotide transfer RNA is filed under the name Hyphomicrobiales bacterium. RNAcentral's name for it is "tRNA-Ser". It matches the Rfam family "tRNA". Rfam says of the family: Transfer RNA (tRNA) molecules are approximately 80 nucleotides in length. Their secondary structure includes four short double-helical elements and three loops (D, anti-codon, and T loops). Further hydrogen bonds mediate the characteristic L-shaped molecular structure. tRNAs have two regions of fundamental functional importance: the anti-codon, which is responsible for specific mRNA codon recognition, and the 3' end, to which the tRNAs corresponding amino acid is attached (by aminoacyl-tRNA synthetases). tRNAs cope with the degeneracy of the genetic code in two manners: having more than one tRNA (with a specific anti-codon) for a particular amino acid; and 'wobble' base-pairing, i.e. permitting non-standard base-pairing at the 3rd anti-codon position. The record is from RNAcentral. Lineage: Bacteria; Pseudomonadati; Pseudomonadota; Alphaproteobacteria; Hyphomicrobiales.
GGAAGGUUGGGUGAGCGGUAAACCGCCGGUUUGCUAAACCGAGGCCAGCACCUAAGCAGGGCUGCGCGAGUUCGAUCCUCGCACCUUCCGCCA